Molecule: regulatory RNA element, 169 nt
Organism: Enterococcus hirae ATCC 9790
Lineage: Bacteria; Bacillati; Bacillota; Bacilli; Lactobacillales; Enterococcaceae
Rfam family: M-box riboswitch aptamer (ykoK leader)
About the family: M-box riboswitch, also know as ykoK leader is described as a metaloregulatory RNA that sense divalent metals and function as a genetic control element of genes related to divalent metal transport in bacteria.
Source: Rfam
UCUUCAAAUAGUUAGGUGAGGCUUCUAUGUAAACAUAAGCUACUGCCCAAAAAUGUCGAGAGACGCCAAUGGGUAGAACAGGGAUUGUCGAUAGCAAGGCUUUUCUUAAGGUAGCUAAGUGCAAACUUUACGUUGCAUAGUGCCAAAGCUCAAACGUGACGUAAGUCAA